This 64-nucleotide transfer RNA is filed under the name Anomolachesilla palaciosi. Its description in RNAcentral is "tRNA-Pro". The record is from RNAcentral. Lineage: Eukaryota; Metazoa; Arthropoda; Insecta; Psocodea; Lachesillidae.
CAGAAUAUAGUUUAGAAAAUAUUAGUUUUGGAGACUAAAGAAGUCUUUUACAAGACUAUUCUGA